Long non-coding RNA from Thalassophryne amazonica, 100 nucleotides. RefSeq lists it as uncharacterized. The record is from RefSeq and is a predicted model, not a curated record. NCBI's taxonomy places the organism in Eukaryota, Metazoa, Chordata, Actinopteri, Batrachoidiformes, Batrachoididae. The transcript is spliced from 3 exons.
CACUGACCCAUGGACUCCGCUAGACCUCUGAAGGUGUGCUGUGGUAUCUGGCACCAAGACAUUAGCAGCAGAUCUUUUUCCAUUAUCCCACAAGGAGCUG